RNAcentral lists this ribosomal RNA (387 nucleotides) under uncultured bacterium. RNAcentral's name for it is "bacterial SSU rRNA". It matches the Rfam family "Bacterial small subunit ribosomal RNA", at positions 94 to 477 of the family's 1533-position model. The record is from RNAcentral.
AGCGGCGAACGGGUGAGUAACAUGUAAAGAACCUGCCUCAUAGACUGGGACAACUAUUGGAAACGAUAGCUAAUACCGGAUAACAGCAUUAACUGCAUGGUUGAUGUUUAAAAGUUGGUUUUGCUAACACUAUGAGAUGGCUUUGCGGUGCAUUAGCUAGUUGGUGGGGUAAAGGCCUACCAAGGCGACGAUGCAUAGCCGACCUGAGAGGGUGAUCGGCCACACUGGGACUGAGACACGGCCCAGACUCCUACGGGAGGCAGCAGUAGGGAAUCUUCCGCAAUGGGCGAAAGCCUGACGGAGCAACGCCGCGUGAGUGAAGAAGGAUUUCGGUUCGUAAAGCUCUGUUGUUAGGGAAGAAUGAUUGUGUAGUAACUAUACACAGUA